Poecilia reticulata (guppy) is the source of this 9510-nucleotide non-coding RNA. NCBI's taxonomy places the organism in Eukaryota, Metazoa, Chordata, Actinopteri, Cyprinodontiformes, Poeciliidae. The record is from RefSeq and is a predicted model, not a curated record.
CCAAUGCUCCACAGGGCCAUAGUUCACACCUAACAUAACAGGAGCAACGCUGCGAGAACACACACACGCAGGGUGGUGAGGCGGUGGUACAGAAACUCUGACCUCCUCACCAUCUCUGUGCGCAAAAACAAAACGCUCUGAGCGUCUCUUUACGAGCCGGCUGCGGGGAGUAAACCUGCAAAUCUGAUCAGACGAUGGAAGCCUGAGGAGCGGGUCAUUCGGCUAACGCGAGGGGAAAAUUGUGACUCGCGUGAGAACUGUUUGCAGAGCCUGCUGACCGGGGUGUGGAGAGGCCGGGUCACUGGGCGACCACACCUGGACCCUUCAGCUGGUGGAAAAGCGUUUCUUCAGUGACUCAGAGGUGACUGGAGACAAAUCCAGACAAGAGAACGGCAGCAACGGGCAGGUCAGAAAUAGCAGAGAGGCCAGAUGGUGACAUAUAAGGAAGGCACAUCUGAUUUUCCUAAAGUUAUAUUAGAAGGGACACUUGCUCUAUGUGCGACAUUUACUGUACUUUAGGUUGCAUUUACACAGUAUUAGUCCUACAUAACUAAGCCACAAGGUCACAGUGUGGAUUAUGGAAUAAACAAAAACUAAAGUAUAAAACCCUGGAAAACAAUUUAACUUGUUUAUCUUUCCUCAUGUUAUAACUGGAAACAUCGGUUUAAUUUAUCUGGGAUUUUUUUUAUAUAGACCAAGAUUCUUACUUGUGGCUCCAGGCCCGCAAGAGGCUCUUUGGACCUUCCACAAUGGCUCCUAAUAACUUUGGCAAAACUAAUAAAGAACCAACUAAUGUAUUUAAAAAUCUAUAUAUAUAAUAAAACUUCCGGUUUUAGCCGCUUUUCAUAUUUUUCUGAUGGAAUAAUUGGAUUAAAUAUACACAUAAAAAGGACUCCAAUAAACCCGUAAUAUUUUUCAGGUCUUUUUUUGUCAUUAGGUUGGAAGCUGCUUUUUCACAUUCAGCUUCAUAGGCCAAGCGCUCACAGCGCACAGAGAUACACAGAGACUCGGUAUAAAUACAUAAAUAUUUUUCUACAAGUCCCAAAGAAAGAAAAUGUGUCCACUCACUUUACUGCAAAACAUGUGGCAUCUUUCUUUCAUUUAAAACCUAAAAAUAGAAAUGAAAUGAUGGUCCUGUAAACACGAGAAUACAAAGUAUUUUUUAUGUUUUUCAAAAGAUCAUGUAACCAGUUUUCCUUCGCUGGACUGAAGGCAAAAAUGGCUCUUUAGAUUACAAAGGUUGCACAGCCCUGAUAUGAAGAGGAACAGAAAAGAUGUUCUGUUUUCUUGUUUUGCAAAUUAAAAUCUCAAAAGUGUGGCAUGCCUCUGUGUCAGCUAAAACUAAAAAUCCUCUUUGCAGAGGUAGCUCAAACUCAGUCAGAUUGGCUGGAAAGCAUCUGUGAACUGGAUUUUUCAAGUCUUGCUGCAGAUUUUGUCGGAAUCUGCACUUAACGUGCCAUAAUGUGAAAAAAAAAAAGCAGAAAAAAAAGACUAAGGGUUGUGAAUAUUUUGUUGUGCCGAGCACAAACGUGAACCUGUGGAGCUGCUUCUGCAUACAGUACACUGCGGCUCUGUAUUGUUCCUAUGAGGCAUGUCACAUACACUACUGUAUGCUGCUCGAAUAACCACAUGGGUUACAGUACAAUGUACCUGGCAAAAGCCACAACAUGCUCCACAUCUUCUGCCCUCACAACUGCUCCUGCUGCUGCUUCACACGUCAGACGACAACAGAUGGGUAACAAGAUCAGGCACCCAUUAUUUUGCGAAGACGGUUGGAGCGAGACACAACCAAAACCCAGUUAAAAUACGGGAACGCGAGCAUCUGCUGAUUUCCUUUCGCAUCUGCUCAACGUAAAGUGAAGCUGCAGUCUUGAGUUUACGUGCCGCAGACGUUGUGGUUAGAAAGUCAGCAAGCAAAAGCAAAGUGAAAGUGCUUGGUGUCUGCGUGUCGGUGUGCACUCAGAACAGCCAGAUUUAAACAAGAUUAUAUUUGAAAAAUACAGCUAAAUAUUCAGACGCAGGAGCCACGCCUCUACUCGUUGCAUCUGGACCAUUGCGUUACUGUAAGAGGAAGAUGUCUCAGCUUUCAGACCGGAGCCGAGUCCUUCCCUCCCCACGUCUUCACAAUGCAGCUCACACUUACUGCUCCCUCAGAGCGACUUGUUCCUUCAGAGCAAAAGAUGCUGAUGGGGAACAAUGUGCCCGUUUUCACCGAGGUAUGACUGAUACAAAGCUGGGGCCCGGAUGUCUGCCCAGCUGCUUUCUGAGUCAGGUCCUGUCUGGGGUGACUCGCCUCCAAAACACACACAAACACACACACAACAUCAGGGAGAGACGUUAUGGAGGAUCUUGGGUCUUUCUGUUGGACACUGCUGGUUAAGAGUCUGAGGUCACGUUGUGUUUCCCCUGACAAAUUAGCCGUUCUAAAAAGGAAUCAGUGUCACACUGUUACCUAAAAACGACAUGUAGGUCAUUUGUCAUCCGCUCAUCAUUUGCUGGAAACUUGGCCUGAAUGUUCGCAGGACUAAUCUGAUGAGGGAGCAGCUUGUGUGUACACAAAAAAAAAAGAGAGAGAGAUACAAGGAUAGGUAUGGAUCAUUAUGAGAUUCUCAGCGUAGAAUAAUAUGGAGUCAAAAUACUGCAAUUACUCAGAAAAUUAACAUGAAUGUUUGACAAGAGCUGGAUGCUUUCACUUAUAAUGUAUAAGAAUUCCUCUUAUUCCUGCUGAAACAACAUAUUAGUUUCUGCACCUAUAAUAAUUGUACGUUUACGUUUAUUUAAAAUGUGCCUGGUCACAUAAUAGCAAAACUUAUAUGUUUCACUAAGCAGCACAACCUAAUUCAGAGACGGCAGACGUAAACAUUUAAUUCCUUUUAUACGUUCAAAAAGGCGUGCAGUGAAGCAGCCACUCAUUAAAUUUCACCCCUUCAAGUUAAACUGUAGUUGUAUCUGUAUAAUAUAAAAUAAUGUAACAAUUUUAGUUCUAACAGAAGAAAUGAAAAUGAAGCCAUGUCACAAAAACAAAAGUAUAAAUUAAAACAAAAACUCUUAACUACCAUUACAGCUCCUCCAAUCUGAAGGUUUUGCUCGUCAUCUUUGCUUUUUACUGACACACCACAUGUUGCAGUGCAAUUCUGAGAUUAUAGCGAGUCAUUUUCAGGCUGUUUUUUUGUAUUAAAAAAUCACAAACUUUUAAAAAUAAAAAGCCAAGUAGCUUUGACAUAAAUCCGCUUUUCACCUAGCGGCUAAACCAUGCGGUAUUUUCUGGCACUUUGAUUUUUUUUUUGGGUCACAGAUUCUAGUUAUUGGUCACAAAGAUUCAAACACAAUAAUUCACAGCUUUUUACACAAAUUGUUGCUGCUUGCAUAAUAUAUUGCACAAUUUAAAUAAGAAGUGCACUAUAUAAGGUCUGUAUCUGAUUAAAAUGCAUAUUUUAAAAUGUUCUUGAAUUAAAUCAUACUGAUAACCGGGACAACCAACCCGCUUAGAGCAUUUGAUUUUUACUUACUGUUUGCUACAACUAAAAUGAAAAUCACACCAAAUUAUAAGCUUUAAUUUAAUUGUACUGCAGACAUGCUUUGACAUCAGUUUAACCCAUUUGUCAGCAGAAACCUCCUUCUAGUUGUUCUCACUUAAAAAUCCCUCAGAGUGUACGGCCCCUCUGGAUCACAGAAUAACAUCUUGAACAACUGAACUACAUAAAAGUGACCCUCAUCAUAAAAUGUCAGCCAUCUAGGAACCAAGAUUUCUGAAUUAUUUGUCAUGGAGAUGUUCACUUUCUUUUUUUUUCUUUUUUUUUUUUUUUUGCUGUAACAAGCUUUUAAUAAAGAUCAAACUCCUUGCACAAGUUCCACUAGUGACAUUAGGCACAAUCUUAAUAUCUGUUAAUUGUAUUUUUUUUCCCUCUUUUAUGUUUUGAAUAAAAUUUCUCUUCAGAGAUGUUUGCUUGUGUGAUACACACACUUGUACAAACAUGUCUUGUCCCUGAUGUUGCUCACUAAUUCCUUUGUGAUUCUUGUGCUUCCUGUGAUUCAUUUUUUCAGCACACUUAAAAAAAAAGUAGAAAAUAAAUAAAAAAUAUAUAUCCUGCAGCAGAUAUAAACAGUUUGUCACUCAGUUGAGUUUUAAUUACAGGAAAUAUAUCCCAUGCAAUAUCAUCUUUAAUGGCUGCCGUUCGACCUUUCGGCCCGCAGGUAAACCUCCCACUGCUUCCCUGUGUCAGAGACUCAAAGGUCUGAGGCAGGGGUCUGCAGCCUGCGGCUCCAGAGCCGCCAGUGAUUCUUUGAACUUUCCACUAUGGCUCUUAAUAACUUUGAAAUUUUUCUGUUCUUCUUUUUAAAUCAGCGAUUAGAUUAGAAGCCAUGUCUUUCUUUUAGUAUUUUGUCACAUCAUUUUGGAUAAACAUCAAUAUUCCACGGAAGAAAAUGCAAACAUUCUUUUUUGCUUUGUUUUUGCUAAAGUUUCUACUAAAAUAAAGUAUUAUUUUAAAACCUAAUAUUUACAAGCAAUUGUAAGUUGUUGUGUUUUUUUUGUUUUCUCAAAAUGCCAUGUAACAUUUGUGGGUCUGAGCAAAUUUCAUUUAGCAGGACAGACGUCUGAUCAGAAGCUGAAGUGGACAUGACGGGAAAAUGGACGCCCCUGCUGAUCCCUGCAUUAAACGUAACGACGGCGUAACAGAGUCUGUUGGCCUUCCGACGCUGCGACCGUGGUGUCCAUCAUCUUAUUGGCGGUGGUUUUUGUUAGCGGUGGAAGGACUGAUCAACGCCAUCUUUGUCAGGGCGCUUUUUAGUGACAAAAUUUCUCCCUUUCUGCAGAUGUAACGAGCAGGAAGACUUUACUCGUGAAAACAGGAGUGUAAGUGCAAAUACACAAUUUUCAGUUAUAAGUUUUUCUAUUCUAUAAAAGAAACUGACUGAUUAAGACGACUAAUAGCCCCAGGUUAAUGUGGGGAAGGAGAGAAAGCCAAAAAAAAAAAUCCCUUCAUGGUAGGUGAUUUUUAGAUUUCUGAGUUGCUUCUAUUGAAGACAGUCACACAUUCACUUUGAAACUAUACGAACCUUGUUUCUAUAUGAGCUAGGAGUGUGUGUGUGUGUGUGUGUGUUUAAGAUGGGUGAAUAUGUCAGUGGAAACAAGUUGUAACAGACGUUUUCUUUCUCCCCUCACACACCACCAGUUCAGUACGUGUACACAAAUAAUAGAACCAGUGUGAAUACCCAGAACAGUGUGAUUUGCAUGGCCCUCUGCAAUUUCAGUUCUCUACUUAUACAUUAAUACAUGAGCAUAAUGGGAAACAGGAAAUGAGAGGCAAGAUCAAAAGAAGAUAUAAUUAUCCACAAACGUCUUCUACAGCUUGUGUGAUUAAAACUGUAUUCUCCUCUUUAGAUUUAAGUUGCUUUCUGCUGGUUUAACCUCUAGACAUACCAAUUUCAGUUGCAAAAAUAUUUUUUUGCAUGAUAAAUAAAAAAAAAAUAUUCUUAUCCUUUUGCAGAACAACAAAAAGAUAAGGAGAAUGAGUGAGCCUUAAAGUGUGUGUAGGAGCUUACACUGUUUGUCAAAUCUUAAUGGAUCUUUUCAUUUAGAUUUCAGCAGUUUUCGCUUUAAGCAGCACAGAUCAUUUUCUAAUUGAAGACAAGAAAAAAAAAUAAUAAUAAGUUGAAAUGAUCCACUCAUUACUUUCCUUGAACUUUGGUCUCUGACCUCAACAUUUAAAUUGCACAUAAUGUAAAAACUGCAAUGAUUCAGUUCUAGUGCUAAAUCAAAGAGUCUACACCUACUCCCAGCAGGGUCCCUUCUAAAAACAAGACCAGAACGAGGUCAUGUCCCACUGCUGAUCAAAAGCCGCACCAAAGAUAAGAAAAAUAACUGAAAUCACCUACAACAACUUUUUUUUAUCAAACACUUUCUGCAACUGUACCCCACUAUCAUCGCACGUCACGUUAGUUUGGUUCCUCAGGAUCGGAUGAAACAGCUGCACGACAAUGUGAGACUUCAGCUUUUGUUAUCCGUUCAAAAUGAAUCAUUGUAACCGUUAAAAAAGUCCCAAAAAAAAAAAAGAAAGAAAAGGUUUUUUUCUCCUGCGUCAGUCUGCAUCAGGCACAGAAAAAUACGUGAGCUGUUGGAGAUAAUUGUCUGACUUGAUGACGGCAAUUCAAAUUAUUGAUGAAUGUUUUCUUUUCAUGCGUAAUUUUCUACACUUACUAUUAAAAUCCCCCCCCCCCGGGACCACUAUGCAUUCAGAAGGGUUGCAUCAAGUGAUUAUUUUAGUUAUUACUCUAUUGAUUAAUCGAAUAAGAAAUUGGCACACCUUGCAGAUUUUUAAUUUAACCCUUUUCAUACACAAAUAAUUUAAUUCCUUUUAUAGAUAAUAAAAUGCACAUUUUAUUGCCCAACAUGCCGCGACGUCGCGUUUCUUUAGUGUGCUUGAUCAUUUGUAGCAAAGGAUGCAUCUGUGGAAAGCUGAGCCUUUCUGUUUGACUAAACAUCAACAGUGCAGGAAUAAUCUGUUGAUUCAUUUUUGUAUUAAUAACCAACUGGGGAUUAAUAAUAGGAGAAUUUCUUUAACAGAAAUCAAAUCAGGUGAAGCCAAAACUGCCACUUGAGUUCUGGGUAAAACAUAUUUAACCUUUUUAUCUUAAAAGUAUUGUGUAUAGUUUUGGCCUGAUUACCGCUUUGAGUAUAUUAUUCCUUCAGCAAAUGGCCUUCUUCAUAGUCUGUAUAACCCAGUUAACAAUUAAUUGAUUACUAAAUUAGUUGGCGAUUAUUUCAACAAUCGUUUAAUCCGAUUUGCGUUUCAGCUAAAGUGUUCAGUACAGUCCACAGGUGUAAAUGUGCGUCAUGGUGUCAUGCUUUGGUUAUGAACCGUAAACAUUGACUUUAGUAACAAAUUAGGCAGGUUCUAAAAGUUUUUCAAUGAUUUCAAAAGCAGAGGUGGUUUAACCAAUGGGAUUACUGAAAGCUAGGUGAAGUAUUCCCUGAAUUCACUCUAUAAAGUCAGACAGAUUGUCUGUCUGCUACAUUUUCCUCUGAAUGAACAGAUAAAACUUUUAGAUCAGCAUUUGGGCCGCCUGAUUGAAUAUUUGUCCAGCCUGUUUUAGAGACGUUAAGCUGCAUAGAUAAUGCUAAACAUUUUAAACAAGACAAACUCUGUAAUAAUAUAUACGGGUAUUAAAUCUAAUUUUCACGCCGUGUUACAUGGAAACUCUAUUUAAAACACUCUAAAUAAAUAGUGUGAACUGAAACGGACCUAAUUUCUUCUGUACUGAUGAUUAAAAUGAGAUCUUUUAUUCCUUUACAGCUCAUUAUACAUCAGAAACACUCUGAAUAUUAUAUUGCUAAAUGCAUACAAAUAAAAGAGCUUCAUUUGACUUAUUUUUGUUAUACAUUAAUUUUCCACUUGCUUAAAUUUUUAGCAUUUUAUAAACUGACAUCUCCCUCAGAUUUAGGUUGAAAGAAAUCAUUGAACUAGCAAAAUAUUUCUUCAAAUUGGAAGAAACAUUUUUGAGUGACUCUGUUGGAAACUAAUGGAGAAUCUGUGGAGGUAGUUAAGAUUAGGGUGAUGGAAAGGAGGCUUUCCAACAUCAGAGACAUAUCACCAAAAUAGAAGUGGAAGAAAAAAAGCUGAAGGUUUGAUUGUUGUAACACCAAGUAACAUUUUUCUUCCACAAUCUUGCUUAAAGUGUAUAGAUAUUUUUUCCACAUGUUGUUUUUAAAUAAUGUGUAAAUUCACAUGGAUAAAUCUUUCUUUUUUCUUUUCAAAACUAUUUUCACUCAGUUCUUUCUAAAUGUAAAUAGAUUUGUCCUUUUUUCACCCACCUCUGGGUUGAUAAUUUGAAAUCUAAAUUAUCCAAAUUUCUGGCCUCCUAGGGGAUCUUCACAUCCCUCCACAGGAUCUCCACCAGAUUCAAGUCAGAAAUCUGUCUGGGUCACUCAAAAUAGUUAUUAUUCCUUCCAAUCAGAAGAAACGUGUUUGUAAAAUUAAAGGAUUAUGCUGGAUCUAAAUCUGUCGGUGGUAACAGAAAAAUGAAGUCCUUUUAUUUGCACGCAUUUAGAAAUUGAAUAUUCAGAAGGUUUGCGAAGUCAGUAAUGAGAAUAAGAAGGAAAAUAAUCUGUUUCUGUUGGUGCAAUUUCUUGAAAGUGUUUUUUAUUAUAAAUGUGACAUGGAUAUCAAUUGUAUUUAACUGUAAAUGUAGGAAAAUCAAACUUUUAGAUUAAUUAAGUAAUAGAAAGAUGUUUUAAAAUUUAGUGAGUUUCUACGCGUUUAGGCCUCAGGUUGUAAGAUUACUCACUUUUAAAGCUCUUGUUACACUGAAGGUGAUAGGAACUAAACGUCUCCGAAAGAUUAAAGUUUUUGUGUGGAUGUUUUUGUCAAUGCAUAAAUGUUUUAACUUUGCAUUUUUAUAGAUUUUAAUUUGCACAGUUGUGACAGUGUGUGAAACAUGAUGUACAUACAGAUUUCCUUGAUUUAUUUUUUAAUUCUGACAGAUUUCUAACAAAGAAACUAAAGAAGUAAUAGAAAAGCAACAUUUGCAUUAAAAACUACUUCACUAAAGCAUUGAGCUGUUACUUCUUGGAGGAGAAAAAAAAGUCUUAGAAUUCUGUUAUAGAUUGCUUUAAUAAAACAAAACAAUGUUCCAGGUAAAUGGUGUUUUUUUUUUGGUGCUGAAUGAAGACGAUGGAAACUCAAAGCAGCUCUUUUGGGAUCCAAAAGGCAGAAAAGACGACUUGUUUUAACUUGUCUAAACUUAUAAUUAAAGACGUGGAUUUGGCCUCGACUUGGAACUGCCGUGCAAAGAUUCGCAGCUCAUCACUGGUACCCACCUCUGGCAUGGCAGUUCACACCAGCGCACCUCCUCACGCCCCAGUAACGAGAGCGACCCGCUGGGACCCCCUGAAGCGGACGGCCUCCCUCGUGCUGCAGGAGCAGCGGCCCAGUGCGCCGGUAACGGACUCCUGCCUUGGAGACACACUCACAUGGCAAUAGGACCAUCCUGGCUCAACACAUCAGUCUGUGCUGGUUAAGCUUUUGAGGUUUGGAUUCUCCCUGUCUGCUUUCACCACCAGAGCAUGACAGAGAGACGCCAUGCAACAUGUGGAGAUGGGCCGACUCAAUCAAUUAGAUGGAUUUAAAGCGAGGGUCACUGUGAAGAUGAAACCAUUGCUGUGAUUAGUUAUACGAUUUCAGUUCGUUUUUUUUCCCUCUCUGUGACAUUUGUAGGAACUCGCAUCAGUCCCUGAUUUUAUCGAUGAAUCAAAAUGUUUGGAUUUUGACAAUUUAAUUAUUGGAAAGUUGUGAUUCUCCAAAACAAAUCCUGAUUUUGGCACUUCUUGGGUUUUCAUAGUUCCGAGUGAUGUCACAACGCCCACGGCGGCCAUGUUGUUUGACAACUGUGCGUAACUGUUUAUUUGGACUUUGAAUUAAGGUCAGCUCUGCGACCAAGAAGUAGGGCCAGACUAAGAUUGUUUUGUAUUGUUUUCUCACUACGUGAAUAAAGUCCUAUUUUUAAAUUCAA